GCUGUUCGCCAUUUAAAGUGGUACGCGAGCUGGGUUUAGAACGUCGUGAGACAGUUCGGUCCCUAUCUGCCGUGGGCGCUGGAGAACUGAGGGGGGCUGCUCCUAGUACGAGAGGACCGGAGUGGACGCAUCACUGGUGUUCGGGUUGUCAUGCCAAUGGCACUGCCCGGUAGCUAAAUGCGGAAGAGAUAAGUGCUGAAAGCAUCUAAGCACGAAACUUGCCCCGAGAUGAGUUCUCCCUGAGACUUWRAGUCUCCUGAAGGAACGUUGAAGACGACGACGUUGAUAGGCCGGGUGUGUAAGCGCAGCGAUGCGUUGAGCUAACCGGUACUAAUGAACCGUGAGGCUUAACCUU
This 355-nucleotide ribosomal RNA is filed under the name Salmonella enterica. RNAcentral's name for it is "partial 23S ribosomal RNA". Lineage: Bacteria; Pseudomonadati; Pseudomonadota; Gammaproteobacteria; Enterobacterales; Enterobacteriaceae. The record is from RNAcentral.